This 68-nucleotide small nucleolar RNA is filed under the name Cercocebus atys (sooty mangabey). RNAcentral describes it as "Small nucleolar RNA SNORD115 (ENSCATG00000000522.1)". It matches the Rfam family "Small nucleolar RNA SNORD115", at positions 14 to 82 of the family's 82-position model. From Rfam's summary of the family: HBII-52 is a member of the C/D class of snoRNAs, which contain the C (UGAUGA) and D (CUGA) box motifs. HBII-52 is encoded in a tandemly repeated array with another C/D snoRNA, HBII-85, in the Prader-Willi syndrome (PWS) region of chromosome 15. Lineage: Eukaryota; Metazoa; Chordata; Mammalia; Primates; Cercopithecidae. The record is from RNAcentral.
GAAUCAAGAGUAUCUUCAGGAGACAUAAUAAUGUAAAAAUCAUGCUCAAUAGGAUUAAGCUAAGGCUC